UUACAACUCUACUAUCAAUAUCCGAUCUUAAUUCACAAAUAAACUAACAUCAUGUAAUUUUCGACUCUAAAUCAUGUUGAAAUCUAGCUCGAACAAUAAGCACGAGUCACAACAUAAACCCAACAUAUAUGACUCCCAACAUGACAAAGUGUGAGUUCAUGAAAAGAGUAAGGAAUCUAACACCAAACAAACAAAGGGACAAAAGUUAACUGGGAAAAAGCAAAAAUGAAAUGAGUUGAAGAGAAGCUUCAAUAAUCGCAAAGACAAUUGAAUUUGUACCAAUAUUCUAUAUUAAACAAAGAAGGACAAAUAACUAUCCAUAUCAAGACAAGGAAUAUCAAGAUUUUUGGGGGGGAAAAGACAACAGUAGCUUUAUAUACAUAUAUACCAACAAUAAUAUAAGAAAAGAAACAAGGUAAGAUAACUUUUGGCUAAUAUUAGCACACGAGUCACAAUCACGAGCCAAUGGUUUAAUAAAUCACAGUAAUCAAAUUCAAACAAGCUUAAACUAAAUUUAUAGCACAACAUAUUACUUCGUCAGCGAGAAGAGUAACACUUAGCUAUAUUCAGAUGCCAAAACGACAACUCGGUAUCAUCAUUAAGGGAAACAGAAAGAAAACAGCAGCAGCAUGAUCAAAAUCGAAAACUUCAAAUAAUGGGAACACGAGAUGUAGAGGAAUUUAAC
RNAcentral lists this long non-coding RNA (685 nucleotides) under Solanum tuberosum (potato). RNAcentral's name for it is "long non-coding RNA (STUB_LNC002939)". The record is from RNAcentral. Lineage: Eukaryota; Viridiplantae; Streptophyta; Magnoliopsida; Solanales; Solanaceae.